UUAACUCAAGUUUGUAUGGAGUCGGGACAGCUUCUCUUCGUUUGUCGAUAGGAGCAUUGUUCUAACUCAAUACAAAUUUGAGUUA
This 85-nucleotide microRNA precursor is filed under the name Bombyx mori (domestic silkworm). RNAcentral describes it as "mir-2807 microRNA precursor family". It matches the Rfam family "mir-2807 microRNA precursor family". Lineage: Eukaryota; Metazoa; Arthropoda; Insecta; Lepidoptera; Bombycidae. The record is from Rfam by way of RNAcentral.